Long non-coding RNA from Homo sapiens (human), 426 nucleotides. NCBI's taxonomy places the organism in Eukaryota, Metazoa, Chordata, Mammalia, Primates, Hominidae. The record is from Ensembl.
GCAGUAUGGAGUUGGAAAGGCCAUCUGUGCUUUUGUGUCCCAGAAAUUCAACUACAAAAUAAAGAGCUGAUCCUCUUUCCAGAUGCACUUACUUUAUAGCAGCAAAGUCAAAAUAAUUAAAAUAGUAAAAGGUUAUUCCCUUCCCCAUGUAUUUUAUACCCUUCCUAUAUAUUAAGGUAUUCUGUAAGUAUUUAAUGAUUUAAACUAAGCUUGUAUUCUUUGCCUUGGUCAUGAAACGAUUAGAAUAAACUCCCCCCAAAUAGCUCAUUGUCUGUCUAGUCUCCAAUUAUCUCUGUAGAGAAAAGUACUAUUGUAAGUAGCAAAAAAUAUUUAUGUUUUACUUGAGAAACCAUAUUUAUUCUUUAAUAUGUGUGUUUACACAGAAGCUUGUUCUCUGAAUAAAAUUGUGAAAUGCUAAAACCAAUA